Molecule: ribosomal RNA, 466 nt
Filed under: Vreelandella stevensii
Lineage: Bacteria; Pseudomonadati; Pseudomonadota; Gammaproteobacteria; Oceanospirillales; Halomonadaceae
Description: partial 16S ribosomal RNA
Rfam family: Bacterial small subunit ribosomal RNA
Source: RNAcentral
CCUACGGGUGGCAGCAGUGGGGAAUAUUGGACAAUGGGCGAAAGCCUGAUCCAGCCAUGCCGCGUGUGUGAAGAAGGCCUUCGGGUUGUAAAGCACUUUCAGUGGGGAAGAAAGCCUUGGGGCUAAUACCCUCGAGGAAGGACAUCACCCACAGAAGAAGCACCGGCAUAACUCCGUGCCAGCAGCCGCGGUAAUACGGAGGGUGCGAGCGUUAAUCGGAAUUACUGGGCGUAAAGCGCGCGUAGGCGGUCUGAUAAGCCGGUUGUGAAAGCCCCGGGCUCAACCUGGGAACGGCAUCCGGAACUGUCCGGCGAGAGUGCAGGAGAGGAAGGUAGAAUUCCCGGUGUAGCGGUGAAAUGCGUAGAGAUCGGGAGGAAUACCAGUGGCGAAGGCGGCCUUCUGGACUGACACUGACGCUGAGGUGCGAAAGCGUGGGUAGCAAACAGGAUUAGAUACCCCUGUAGUC